CCUACGGGAGGCAGCAGUGAGGAAUAUUGGUCAAUGGACGCGAGUCUGAACCAGCCAUGCCGCGUGAAGGAAGACGGCUCUAUGAGUUGUAAACUGCUUUUGUACGGGGGUAAACGCAGAUACGUGUAUCUGUCUGAAAGUAUCGUAAGAAUAAGGAUCGGCUAACUCCGUGCCAGCAGCCGCGGUAAUACGGAGGAUUCGAGCGUUAUCCGGAUUUAUUGGGUUUAAAGGGUGCGUAGGCGGUCGGAUAAGUUAGAGGUGAAAUCCCGAGGCUCAACUGCGGAAUUGCCUUUGAUACUGUUCGGCUAGAGAGUAGUUGCGGUAGGCGGAAUGUAUGGUGUAGCGGUGAAAUGCUUAGAGAUCACACAGAACACCGAUUGCGAGGGCAGCUUACCAAGCUACUUCUGACAUGGAGGCACGAAAGCGUGGGGAUCAAACAGGAUUAGAUACCCGGGUAGUC
RNAcentral lists this ribosomal RNA (460 nucleotides) under uncultured bacterium. RNAcentral's name for it is "partial 16S ribosomal RNA". It matches the Rfam family "Bacterial small subunit ribosomal RNA", at positions 338 to 795 of the family's 1533-position model. The record is from RNAcentral.